Molecule: ribosomal RNA, 439 nt
Filed under: uncultured bacterium
Lineage: Bacteria
Description: partial 16S ribosomal RNA
Rfam family: Bacterial small subunit ribosomal RNA
Source: RNAcentral
CCUACGGGUGGCAGCAGUAGGGAAUAUUGCUCAAUGGGGGAAACCCUGAUGCAGCAACGCCGCGUGGAUGAUGAAGGUUUUCGGAUUGUAAACUCCUUUUGUUAGAGAAGAUAAUGACGGUAUCUAACUAAUAAGCACCGGCUAACUCCGUGCCAGCAGCCGCGGUAAUACGGAGGGUGCAAGCGUUACUCGGAAUAACUGGCGUAAAGGGCGCGUAGGCGGGUUAGCAAGUCAGAAGUGAAAGCCUAUGGCUUAACCAUAGGACUGCAUUUGAAACUGUUAUUCUAGAGUAUGGGAGAGGUAGGUGGAAUUCUUGGUGUAGGGGUAAAAUCCGUAGAGAUCAAGAGGAAUACUCAUGGCGAAGGCGACCUGCUAGAACAUAACUGACGCUGAGGCGCGAAAGCGUGGGGAGCAAACAGGAUUAGAUACCCGAGUAGUC